AUGCGAUAAGUAAUGUGAAUUGCAGAAUUCAGUGAAUCAUCGAAUCUUUGAACGCACAUUGCGCCCGCGAGUAUUCUCGCGGGCAUGCCUGUCCGAGCGUCAUUUCAACCCUCAGGGCCCGCCUGCUUGCAGGCGCGGCGCUGGUGUUGGGGAUCGGCUACCCUGCCGUCCCCCAAAUACAGUGGCGGUCUCGCUGCAGCCUCCCCUGCGUAGUAGCAACACUCGCAUGCGGAGCGCGGCGCGGCCACGCCGUAAAACCCCCGACUUUCUGAACGUUGACCUCGGAUCAGGUAGGAAUACCCGCUGAACUUAA
RNAcentral lists this unclassified non-coding RNA (313 nucleotides) under uncultured Alfaria. RNAcentral describes it as "partial contains 5.8S ribosomal RNA, internal transcribed spacer 2, and large subunit ribosomal RNA". The stretch from base 1 to 102 matches the Rfam family "5.8S ribosomal RNA", at positions 53 to 154 of the family's 154-position model. Lineage: Eukaryota; Fungi; Ascomycota; Sordariomycetes; Hypocreales; Stachybotryaceae. The record is from RNAcentral.